This 253-nucleotide ribosomal RNA is filed under the name uncultured bacterium. RNAcentral's name for it is "partial 16S ribosomal RNA". It matches the Rfam family "Bacterial small subunit ribosomal RNA", at positions 524 to 776 of the family's 1533-position model. The record is from RNAcentral.
UACGAAGGGGGCUAGCGUUGCUCGGAAUCACUGGGCGUAAAGCGCACGUAGGCGGAUUGUUAAGUCAGGGGUGAAAUCCUGGAGCUCAACUCCAGAACUGCCUUUGAUACUGGCGAUCUCGAGUCCGGGAGAGGUGAGUGGAACUGCGAGUGUAGAGGUGAAAUUCGUAGAUAUUCGCAAGAACACCAGUGGCGAAGGCGGCUCACUGGCCCGGUACUGACACUGAGGGACGAAAGCUAGGGGAGCGAAUGGG